CCCUAGCCCGGAUAGCAGCGGCAUCCUUUUGUGGCGCGCAGCAGAACAAAAGAUACAGCGGAUAGCCGGAAACAGC
Molecule: small RNA, 76 nt
Filed under: Flavobacterium noncentrifugens
Lineage: Bacteria; Pseudomonadati; Bacteroidota; Flavobacteriia; Flavobacteriales; Flavobacteriaceae
Description: Flavo-1 RNA
Rfam family: Flavo-1 RNA
Source: Rfam by way of RNAcentral